Molecule: ribosomal RNA, 245 nt
Filed under: uncultured prokaryote
Description: partial 16S ribosomal RNA
Rfam family: Bacterial small subunit ribosomal RNA
Source: RNAcentral
UACGGAGGAUGCAAGCGUUAUCCGGAUUUAUUGGGUUUAAAGGGUGCGUAGGCGGAUAUGUAAGUCAGCGGUGAAACUCACAGGCUCAACCUGUGCCGUGCCGUUGAAACUGUGUAUCUGGAAUGCGGAUGCUGUGGGAGGAAUGUGUAGUGUAGCCGUGAAAUGCAUAGAUAUUACACAGAACACCGAUUGCGAAGGCAGCUUACUAAUCCAUCAUUGACGCUGAGGCACGAAAGCGUGGGGAU